This 1361-nucleotide ribosomal RNA is filed under the name uncultured bacterium. RNAcentral describes it as "bacterial SSU rRNA". It matches the Rfam family "Bacterial small subunit ribosomal RNA", at positions 28 to 1381 of the family's 1533-position model. The record is from RNAcentral.
AUUGAACGCUGGCGGCAGGCCUAACACAUGCAAGUCGAGCGGUAGCACAGAGAGCUUGCUCUCGGGUGACGAGCGGCGGACGGGUGAGUAAUGUCUGGGAAACUGCCUGAUGGAGGGGGAUAACUACUGGAAACGGUAGCUAAUACCGCAUAACGUCGCAAGACCAAAGUGGGGGACCUUCGGGCCUCAUGCCAUCAGAUGUGCCCAGAUGGGAUUAGCUAGUAGGUGGGGUAACGGCUCACCUAGGCGACGAUCCCUAGCUGGUCUGAGAGGAUGACCAGCCACACUGGAACUGAGACACGGUCCGGACUCCUACGGGAGGCAGCAGUGGGGAAUAUUGCACAAUGGGCGCAAGCCUGAUGCAGCCAUGCCGCGUGUGUGAAGAAGGCCUUCGGGUUGUAAAGCACUUUCAGCGGGGAGGAAGGCGUUAAGGUUAAUAACCUUGGCGAUUGACGUUACCCGCAGAAGAAGCACCGGCUAACUCCGUGCCAGCAGCCGCGGUAAUACGGAGGGUGCAAGCGUUAAUCGGAAUUACUGGGCGUAAAGCGCACGCAGGCGGUCUGUCAAGUCGGAUGUGAAAUCCCCGGGCUCAACCUGGGAACUGCAUUCGAAACUGGCAGGCUAGAGUCUUGUAGAGGGGGGUAGAAUUCCAGGUGUAGCGGUGAAAUGCGUAGAGAUCUGGAGGAAUACCGGUGGCGAAGGCGGCCCCCUGGACAAAGACUGACGCUCAGGUGCGAAAGCGUGGGGAGCAAACAGGAUUAGAUACCCUGGUAGUCCACGCCGUAAACGAUGUCGAUUUGGAGGUUGUGCCCUUGAGGCGUGGCUUCCGGAGCUAACGCGUUAAAUCGACCGCCUGGGGAGUACGGCCGCAAGGUUAAAACUCAAAUGAAUUGACGGGGGCCCGCACAAGCGGUGGAGCAUGUGGUUUAAUUCGAUGCAACGCGAAGAACCUUACCUGGUCUUGACAUCCACAGAACUUCCCAGAGAUGGAUUGGUGCCUUCGGGAACUGUGAGACAGGUGCUGCAUGGCUGUCGUCAGCUCGUGUUGUGAAAUGUUGGGUUAAGUCCCGCAACGAGCGCAACCCUUAUCCUUUGUUGCCAGCGGUUAGGCCGGGAACUCAAAGGAGACUGCCAGUGAUAAACUGGAGGAAGGUGGGGAUGACGUCAAGUCAUCAUGGCCCUUACGACCAGGGCUACACACGUGCUACAAUGGCAUAUACAAAGAGAAGCGACCUCGCGAGAGCAAGCGGACCUCAUAAAGUAUGUCGUAGUCCGGAUUGGGGUCUGCAACUCGACUCCAUGAAGUCGGAAUCGCUAGUAAUCGUAGAUCAGAAUGCUACGGUGAAUACGUUCCCGGGCCU